RNAcentral lists this ribosomal RNA (921 nucleotides) under uncultured bacterium. RNAcentral describes it as "bacterial SSU rRNA". It matches the Rfam family "Bacterial small subunit ribosomal RNA", at positions 571 to 1499 of the family's 1533-position model. The record is from RNAcentral.
GUAGGCGGGGCGGCAAGUCAGAAGUGAAAAUCAUGGGCUCAACUCAUGACCUGCUUUUGAAACUGUUGCUCUUGAGUGAAGUAGAGGCAAGCGGAAUUCUAGUGUAGCGGUGAAAUGCGUAGAUAUUAGGAGGAACACCAGUGGCGAAGGCGGCUUGCUGGGCUUUUACUGACGCUGAGGCUCGAAAGCGUGGGGAGCAAACAGGAUUAGAUACCCUGGUAGUCCACGCCGUAAACGAUGAUUACUAGGUGUGGGGGGAUUGACCCCUUCCGUGCCGCAGUUAACACAAUAAGUAAUCCACCUGGGGAGUACGACCGCAAGGUUGAAACUCAAAGGAAUUGACGGGGGCCCGCACAAGCAGUGGAGUAUGUGGAUUAAUUCGAAGCAACGCGAAGAACCUUACCGGGUCUUGACAUCGAGUGACCGCCCAAGAGAUUGGGCUUUCUCUUCGGAGACACGAAGACAGGUGGUGCAUGGUUGUCGUCAGCUCGUGUCGUGAGAUGUUGGGUUAAGUCCCGCAACGAGCGCAACCCUUAUGAUUAGUUGCUACGCAAGAGCACUCUAAUCAGACUGCCGUUGACAAAACGGAGGAAGGUGGGGAUGACGUCAAAUCAUCAUGCCCUUUAUGACCCGGGCCUCACACGUACUACAAUGGCGUUUAACAAAGAGAAGCAAAAUGGUGACAUAGAGCAAAUCUCCAAAAAACGUCUCAGUUCAGAUUGCAGGCUGCAACUCGCCUGCAUGAAGUCGGAAUUGCUAGUAAUCGCAGAUCAGCAUGCUGCGGUGAAUACGUUCCCGGGCCUUGUACACACCGCCCGUCAAACCAUGAGAGUUGGCAACACCCGAAGCCGAUAGUCUAACCGCAAGGAGGACGUCGUCGAAGGUGGGGUCGAUGAUUGGGGUUAAGUCGUAACAAGGUAA